Molecule: ribosomal RNA, 465 nt
Filed under: Vreelandella stevensii
Lineage: Bacteria; Pseudomonadati; Pseudomonadota; Gammaproteobacteria; Oceanospirillales; Halomonadaceae
Description: partial 16S ribosomal RNA
Rfam family: Bacterial small subunit ribosomal RNA
Source: RNAcentral
CCUACGGGUGGCUGCAGUGGGGAAUAUUGGACAAUGGGCGAAAGCCUGAUCCAGCCAUGCCGCGUGUGUGAAGAAGGCCUUCGGGUUGUAAAGCACUUUCAGUGAGGAAGAAAGCCUUGGGGCUAAUACCCUCGAGGAAGGACAUCACCCACAGAAGAAGCACCGGCUAACUCCGUGCCAGCAGCCGCGGUAAUACGGAGGGUGCGAGCGUUAAUCGGAAUUACUGGGCGUAAAGCGCGCGUAGGCGGUCUGAUAAGCCGGUUGUGAAAGCCCCGGGCUCAACCUGGGAACGGCAUCCGGAACUGUCAGGCUAGAGUGCAGGAGAGGAAGGUAGAAUUCCCGGUGUAGCAGUGAAAUGCGUAGAGAUCGGGAGGAAUACCAGUGGCGAAGGCGGCCUUCUGGACUGACACUGACGCUGAGGUGCGAAAGCGUGGGUAGCAAACAGGAUUAGAUACCCCUGUAGUC